RNAcentral lists this transfer RNA (72 nucleotides) under Caerostris extrusa. Its description in RNAcentral is "tRNA-Pro". It matches the Rfam family "tRNA". From Rfam's summary of the family: Transfer RNA (tRNA) molecules are approximately 80 nucleotides in length. Their secondary structure includes four short double-helical elements and three loops (D, anti-codon, and T loops). Further hydrogen bonds mediate the characteristic L-shaped molecular structure. tRNAs have two regions of fundamental functional importance: the anti-codon, which is responsible for specific mRNA codon recognition, and the 3' end, to which the tRNAs corresponding amino acid is attached (by aminoacyl-tRNA synthetases). tRNAs cope with the degeneracy of the genetic code in two manners: having more than one tRNA (with a specific anti-codon) for a particular amino acid; and 'wobble' base-pairing, i.e. permitting non-standard base-pairing at the 3rd anti-codon position. Lineage: Eukaryota; Metazoa; Arthropoda; Arachnida; Araneae; Araneidae. The record is from RNAcentral.
GGCUCGGUGGUCUACGGGUUUGAUUCUCGCUUUGGGUGCGAGAGGUCCAGGGUUCAAAUCCCGGCCGAACCC